This 806-nucleotide long non-coding RNA is filed under the name Homo sapiens (human). RNAcentral describes it as "HSALNT0126395". Lineage: Eukaryota; Metazoa; Chordata; Mammalia; Primates; Hominidae. The record is from RNAcentral.
GUGAGCAACACUCACCUGGUCAGUGAAGCUGAGCAAAACUGCCCUGCUCAGACCUGAACUGGCCUGAGACAGAGACAGAAAGGGGCAGGCAAGGGCAGUCUCAGACUCCCAGAGAGGAGAACAGCAAGUUUCUGUUCCACCUACUUCCGCUGACCUACCCUUCACAGAGCUGGGGCUGGUGUUUAAUCUGCACAGGCUGCAUGAAGUUUUGCAUCCUCUUUCCUGGAGCCUGGCCUGGCCUGGAUGUUAGAGUUCAUGCUGCACCCUGGGAGGGUGAAAGCUGGCCCCACUCAGAGCUGUCCAUGCCACUCCCAGGCCCCAGCAAAUAGCAGGUGUCAGUGAGCGGGUGAGAGGCAUGUCUUCUGCCUCCUGGGACUCUGAGCUUCCUAGAACUGGGGCCACAUUUCCUGCCUUAUCUGUUUUCUCCACUGAGCAGGGCUGGGGCUGGAGGGGGCACGUGUGGGGCCAGCCAGCAGGAGCCCGAGGCGAGAGGGUCUGAACCCCCUGCCUCAGAGCCUACCGGCAGAGAGACCAGGGGCCUUUCAUUUCCCAGCAUCCCCGACAUCCUGCUCAUCUGCUGCAGAAACAAUGAACACGGGAAAAGGGCAGGAUGUCCCAGAGGUCGUCGUCAAUGGCACACGUGCCAUGAUCUCAUCAGCUCCUGAAAAACAAUGACUCGACCUUCUGAGGGCCCCAACUGAGCUCUGGACAGACGAGAGACGGGCCAGGGCUGCGAGGAGGCAGAGAGGCAAGGGCUUCGGCCUCCCCAUUUCCAAGCUUGCAUUCCCAGGAGUCCAUUCAUAUGU